RNA transcript from Lagopus muta (rock ptarmigan), 3799 nucleotides. It is a transcript of the gene named histamine receptor H2, with no coding region annotated. The transcript has 4 exons. The record is from RefSeq and is a predicted model, not a curated record. Lineage: Eukaryota; Metazoa; Chordata; Aves; Galliformes; Phasianidae.
UGCACGCAGCGUGCCCGGCUCCUUUCAGCAUUUCGACUUGGACUGGAUAGUAACCUCGGAGUCUGAGUUCAGGGCUCUGAUCCCACCCACCGGCGCUGUGACUCACGGCGCAGUCAGCGAGCUGCCUGGAUAUUGGUGGGCAAGGAGGAGGGAGGGAGCUGGCGGCCGCCGCUGGCACACGAGUUGCUCCGGCGCGCGGUGAUCGGCGCUCCCACCUGCUGCAGGGCUGCAGAACGCCGCUCCCAGGCUGUCCUCAGAUAAAGAAGCUCUGUCCCUGUCGAGUACUGCUGGCCAUCAUCUCUGACCCAAGCACACAGAGCAAGGCAGGCAUGAGACCCCGUGGGACCUGACCCCAUAGCAUCUGACCCUGCUGGGCUUUGCAGGAGAGAAGGGAACAGCUGACACCCACCAGCAGUGCCACAGGAAUCAGCUCCAGCCCCAGAUGGACCAAGUCACACAAGAAAGUUGCAGGGGCACAUCAUUUCUAGGUCACAUCACCUCAGCAGACUGAAUGCGUGAAGAGGACUCUACUGUGAUCUCCAAGACCAUCGUAGGCCCAAAUUUGGUUUGGAAGGAACUCCAGGGCUGCCUGGUAGAGGCUCACUCCAAGCAUCUAUAGAGCCACUGACAGCAGAACCGUUCCACCCAUGCAACUGCACUAUGGAUCCAUGUGGCAACCUCACAAACCCUUCAAGAAACAUGGACUUCCCUCUGCAGCUGCUGGUCGGGUCCUGCCUGGCCCUGCUCAUCGUAUUCACUCUCUGUGGUAACAUCGUUGUGUGCCUGGCCGUCACUCUGGACCGCCGGCUCCGCAGCCUGACCAACUGCAUCAUCGUCUCGUUGGCCAUCACUGACCUGCUGCUGGCCCUGCUGGUGCUGCCCUUCUCCGCCUUCUAUGAGCUCACCAGCGAGUGGCCCUUCGGCAGCACGUUGUGCAACAUCUACCUCAGCCUGGAUGUCAUGCUGUGCACGGCCUCCAUCCUCAACCUCUUCAUUAUCAGCCUGGACCGCUACUUCGCCGUCACCACCCCGCUGCGCUACCAGCAGCUGGUCACCCCAUCCCGCGUGGCUGUGGCCCUGGUUGUUAUUUGGACAGUUUCACUGAUGGUCUCCUUCCUCCCCAUCCACCUGGGGUGGAAUACCAAUGGGACAAUGGUUCAGAACACUACACCCAACUGCACCAGGGAGUGCAAGCUGGAGGUGAAUUCUGUGUACGGACUGGUGGACUCCUUGCUCACCUUCUAUAUCCCUCUGGUCAUCAUGUGCAUCACCUACUACCGGAUAUUCAAGAUAGCGAGGGAGCAAGCCAAGAGGAUAAACCACACGUGGUGCUGCAGCAGCAACAGCCACAUGCCACCCAUGGUGAAGGAGCACAAAGCCACUGUGACUCUGGCAGUGGUGAUGGGAGCCUUCAUCAUUUGCUGGUUCCCCUAUUUCACAGUGUUCACGUACAGAGGGGUGUGGGGGGACAGCAGUGUGAAAGGCACACCCAUGUCCAUCGUCCUCUGGCUGGGCUAUGCCAACUCAGCACUGAACCCCAUCCUCUAUGGGACAUUCAACAGAGAUUUUCGGGUGGCAUACCAGCACUUGUUGCACUGCUGCAGGACAGGGGACCCCAAGAACUCCCUACAGAAGGGUCAGCCCUGGGGCAGGAGCUGCAGGGAGAACCUGGAUGGGCAGGAGGGGAAAUGCCUGAAGCUGGAGAUGAGGAAUGGGAAGGGCAUCUUGCUGACAGAUGGAGCCCUGCAGAGUGACGGAGCUUUCCCGUGAGCCUCAGCCACCCCAUCUCCUGGCCUCCUCUCCCAGCUGCCCUCUUCCAGCACUCUGCAAGGCUGAAAGGACACAGCCAGACUUCCCUUGGGGAGAAACCUGAGAGCAGAGGCAAGGGCUGCAGGGAUCCCUGUGCCGGCACGUGGCACUUGCUGUCUCCCCAGAUGAUGCUGGAAAAGCCUAUGCCUGCCCACAUUUCUUACCAGGAGCACAGAAGAACCUGCACCAUCAGGGCCCAUGACACCUCCAGCACUGAGCCCUACGUUAGUGGGUUGAGAGCCAGGGUGCACCCCAGCAGGUCUGGGGUUCAGGCACAGCAGGAAAAAGGAGAUGCAGCCACAGCCUCGGUGCCAGACAGCCCAACCCAGGACCGGCACUACGCCCCGCGGUGCUCCAUCAAAGGAAAACAUCCACCGCCCAGGGGGCCCGGCAGAGGGGGUGAGGUGACAGGAGAGCUAUCGACGGCCAGAUCACAACACGUGCAGCCCCCCAGCAUCCUCAUGGGCCAAAAAAGAGCCCCACCUCGGGGACAGUGGGGUGUCCCCUGCUCUUUGUGGGCUUCACACGCUCAGCCCCACGGCAAGGAGAGAGGACCCGGAGCCACGGGAGCCGCCGAGCAGUGUGGCUGCCCCCAGGCUCUUUCCCCAGCAGCAGCUAAAGCCAAGUCUGCAAAAACAGGAUGUCUGCGAGCGAGCCUGGGCAGAACCCAGCCAUACAAAAUCCCGUUUAACACAGAGGCAGAACAGCACGAUUGAUUUCUCCCAGCACACUCUACCUCUAGAAGAGCUCCCCGUAGCCCCCCAUUCCCCUGUACCUCACCCCUUCCUCUCCGCCGCGCUCACGCACAGCACAACCGCAGGGACGCGGCUGGAGCCGAGCGCACCGCUCCCAGAGCCGGGGGGCAGCAGAGCGGCUCCGGCGCCCCCCGGGCCGGGCAGCGUUACGAGCUCGGAGCUCCCCCUGCUUGCGGCUCCCGGCCCGGCCCCCCUCUGUUCCGGAGCACCCGCAGCCCGGGCCGGGCCAGAAACAGCCGCAGCAUCCACGCUUCCCUCUAAGACUCGGGGAGGAGGAUCUGACAAACGCACCCCACCCAAAGCUGUGCCACCUAUGAUAACAAUUAGAGACUGAUCUAAUUGCAAAAAUAAUUGCAAUUGAAGUGUUUAAUUACCAUAGUAAGCAGGAAGAGCCGCUCCCGACUGUUUUGGUAGCACUCCCGAUCCAUCAAACAAGGUUUGGGGCUUGUUUGGGGUUGGUGUGUGUUUUCUUUUUUAUUAUUAUUAGAUUGCAGCCCUGGGGGGAUGAAGAGAUUUACUAAUUAGGGUCCUGGAGAACAGCCACCAACUUGCAAGCACUUGUUUUUAAUUUCAAUACUAACAAGGCUGGAAGGGGGAGAAAUCCAAAAUGCAUAACAGCUGUGUGGUUGCAGCCCUGCAGCCCCUCACCACGCUGGCAGAGCCCUGGUGCUGCUUGGUGUGAUGCUGUGAGGCUGGUUUUGUGCUGUGCCAGCACCUGUCACCCUCUGAUCCCAUCCACUGCAGUGACAGCUCAUCCAGAUCCUGGUGCCAAGCCCUGCAGAACAACAGCAGGAAACUUCUCCAGGUGGCAUUUGGUUUUGUUCUCCCCUAUAUGUGCAACAAAAGGGGAUUAAAUUCUUUCUCCAAGCAGCAAUUCUGAGAGGGAGGAGAAACCGCUUAGAAAGCUCCUAAGCAACAUCUGCUUUCUCAGAUAGGAAUAUCCCCAUGCUAGCCAAGUGCCCAGGGACAGCUCUAUCCUUUGGGCCCUGUAGGGAUGCAGCCACAGCUCUGGGUAGGACCCAAAAGCACAGAAAGGGCUGUGGGGAGGGGAUGUAGGAGCUGCUGCAGGGCACUCUGGUGUGCCCCCCUCCCAGAAGUGUAGCAAAGGACUGUUGUAUUCCUUUUAGAUAAAAGAGAAACAUCAGUAGAAGAAGGGAAAAAAAAAAAAGUGUUGGCUUUUUUUUUGAGCUCUCGUGAUUGAACACAGGAGAUGGAAAGGUGGCAAGCAGCCCCAA